RNAcentral lists this ribosomal RNA (229 nucleotides) under uncultured bacterium. RNAcentral describes it as "partial 16S ribosomal RNA". It matches the Rfam family "Bacterial small subunit ribosomal RNA", at positions 568 to 796 of the family's 1533-position model. The record is from RNAcentral.
CACGCAGGCGGUCUUAUCAGUCAGAUGUGAAAGCCCGGGGCUCAACCCCGGACGUGCAUUUGAAACAGUAAGACUUGAGUACGGGAGAGGAAAGCGGAAUUCCUGGUGUAGAGGUGAAAUUCGUAGAUAUCAGGAGGAACACCGGUGGCGAAGGCGGCUUUCUGGACCGAUACUGACGCUGAGGUGCGAAGGCGUGGGGAGCGAACAGGAUUAGAUACCCUGGUAGUCC